RNAcentral lists this ribosomal RNA (252 nucleotides) under uncultured bacterium. RNAcentral describes it as "partial 16S ribosomal RNA". It matches the Rfam family "Bacterial small subunit ribosomal RNA", at positions 524 to 776 of the family's 1533-position model. The record is from RNAcentral.
UACGGAGGAUGCGAGCGUUAUCCGGAUUUAUUGGGUUUAAAGGGUGCGUAGGCGGGAUGACAAGUCAGCGGUAAAAAUGCGGUGCUCAACGCCGUCGAGCCGUUGAAACUGGCGUUCUUGAGUGGGCGAGAAGUAUGCGGAAUGCGUGGUGUAGCGGUGAAAUGCAUAGAUAUCACGCAGAACUCCGAUUGCGAAGGCAGCAUACCGGCGCCCUACCGACGCUGAGGCUCGAAAGCAUGGGUAGCGAACAGG